CCUACGGGUGGCUGCAGUGGGGAAUAUUGCACAAUGGGGGAAACCCUGAUGCAGCAACGCCGCGUGAGUGAGGAAGUAUCUCGGUAUGGUAAACUCUUUUAGCCGGGGAUAGAAAAGAAGGUACCUGAAAAAGAAGCCCCGGCUAACUACGUGCCAGCAGCCGCGGUAAUACGUAGGGGGCAAGCGUUAUCCGGAUUUACUGGGGUUAAAGGGAGCGUAGGCGGGAAGGCAAGGCAGGAGUGAAAGCCCAAGGCUCAACCAGGGGCCUGCUUUUGAAACUGGCAAACUCGAGUAGGGGAGAGGUAGGCGGAAUUCGUAGUGUAGCGGUGAAAUGCGUAGAUAUUAGGAGGAACACCAGUGGCGAAGGCGGCUUACUGGACCGAGACUGACGUUGAGGCUCGAAAGCGUGGGGAGCAAACAGGAUUAGAUACCCUUGUAGUC
RNAcentral lists this ribosomal RNA (441 nucleotides) under uncultured bacterium. RNAcentral describes it as "partial 16S ribosomal RNA". It matches the Rfam family "Bacterial small subunit ribosomal RNA", at positions 338 to 795 of the family's 1533-position model. The record is from RNAcentral.